AUUUCUUUAGAAUAACUUUAGUUCAGAUGAUUUCCACUCAUCAAGUUCUUUUAAGAAAGAAAUA
Molecule: transfer RNA, 64 nt
Filed under: Trichodectes canis
Lineage: Eukaryota; Metazoa; Arthropoda; Insecta; Psocodea; Trichodectidae
Description: tRNA-Gly
Source: RNAcentral